Long non-coding RNA from Puntigrus tetrazona (Sumatra barb), 226 nucleotides. RefSeq lists it as uncharacterized. The transcript has 3 exons. The record is from RefSeq and is a predicted model, not a curated record. Lineage: Eukaryota; Metazoa; Chordata; Actinopteri; Cypriniformes; Cyprinidae.
ACCAGGACCUGCUCCUGCUGGAGCACAACAAGUGGUCCAAACCUGGCCUGUCACAGGAAUGCUGUGACUUACUAAGGGUUCUUCUCCACGAGAAGCCAAUCCGGCGACUUGGUCUGGGGCAAAUCAGGUCCCACAACUGGUUUAUGGUCGUCUUAUAGGACCACUCCGGUUGGCGCCUCUCUUGCAGCUUUGCGUCUUGCGGGCUGCAGCGGGAGGUGCUUUCAUC